RNAcentral lists this ribosomal RNA (86 nucleotides) under Anopheles splendidus. Its description in RNAcentral is "partial 5.8S ribosomal RNA". The record is from RNAcentral. Lineage: Eukaryota; Metazoa; Arthropoda; Insecta; Diptera; Culicidae.
GAACUGCAGGACACAUGAACACCGACACGUUGAACGCAUAUUGCGCAUCGGACGUCUCAACCCGACCGAUGCACACAUCCUUGAGU